GGCGGUGAUGGAUGGGGAUGCGUCUGAUUAGCUUGUUGGCGGUAACGGCCCACCCAAGGCUACGAUCAGUAGGGGUUCUGAGAGGAAGGUCCCCCACAUUGGAACUGAGACACGGUCCAAACUCCUACGGGAGGCAGCAGUGAGGAAUAUUGGUCAAUGGGCGAGAGCCUGAACCAGCCAAGUAGCGUGCAGGAUGACGGCCCUAUGGGUUGUAAACUGCUUUUACGCGGGGAUAAAGUGCGUGACGUGUCGCGCAUCGCAGGUACCGCGUGAAUAAGGACCGGCUAAUUCCCGUGCCAGCAGCCGCGGUAAAU
This 314-nucleotide ribosomal RNA is filed under the name uncultured Prevotella sp. RNAcentral describes it as "bacterial SSU rRNA". It matches the Rfam family "Bacterial small subunit ribosomal RNA", at positions 214 to 525 of the family's 1533-position model. Lineage: Bacteria; Pseudomonadati; Bacteroidota; Bacteroidia; Bacteroidales; Prevotellaceae. The record is from RNAcentral.